This 538-nucleotide ribosomal RNA is filed under the name uncultured Lactobacillus sp. RNAcentral's name for it is "bacterial SSU rRNA". It matches the Rfam family "Bacterial small subunit ribosomal RNA", at positions 348 to 877 of the family's 1533-position model. Lineage: Bacteria; Bacillati; Bacillota; Bacilli; Lactobacillales; Lactobacillaceae. The record is from RNAcentral.
GCAGCAGUAGGGAAUCUUCCACAAUGGGCGAAAGCCUGAUGGAGCAACGCCGCGUGUGUGAUGAAGGCUUUAGGGUCGUAAAGCACUGUUGUAUGGGAAGAAAUGCUAGAAUUGGGAAUGAUUCUAGUUCGACGGUACCAUACCAGAAAGGGACGGCUAAAUACGUGCCAGCAGCCGCGGUAAUACGUAUGUCCCGAGCGUUAUCCGGAUUUAUUGGGCGUAAAGCGAGCGCAGACGGUUGAUUAAGUCUGAUGUGAAAGCCCGGAGCUCAACUCCGGAAUGGCAUUGGAAACUGGUUAACUUGAGUGUUGUAGAGGUAAGUGGAACUCCAUGUGUAGCGGUGGAAUGCGUAGAUAUAUGGAAGAACACCAGUGGCGAAGGCGGCUUACUGGACAACAACUGACGUUGAGGCUCGAAAGUGUGGGUAGCAAACAGGAUUAGAUACCCUGGUAGUCCACACCGUAAACGAUGAAUACUAGGUGUUAGGAGGUUUCCGCCUCUUAGUGCCGAAGCUAACGCAUUAAGUAUUCCGCCUGGG